GAUGGACGCUGGCGGCGUGCCUAAUACAUGCAAGUCUAGCGAACAGACGAAGAUCUUGCUCCUCUCACGUUAGCUGCGGACGUGUGAUUAACGAGAGUAUAACCUACCUGUAAUACUGGGAUAACUUCGAGAAACCUGCGCAAAUACCGGAUAAGAUAUUGAACCGCAUGGUUCCAUAGUGAAAGACGGUUUUUCUGUCACUUAUCGACGGAUCCCCGCCGCAUUAGCUAGUUGGUCAGGUACCAGCUUAACAAGACAACGAUGAGUAGCCGACGGGAGAGGGGGAUAGGCCACAUGGGAACGGAGACACGCUCCAGACUCCUACGGGAGGGAGCAGUAGGGAACCUGCCGCAAUGGUCGCAAGCCUGACGCAGAAACGCGGCGUGAGUGAUGAAGGUGCUCGGAUCGUAACACUCUCUUAUUAGUGAAGAACCAAUGUGUCAGUAAAUAUGCACGUCUUGACGGUACCUAAUCAGAAAGCAACGGCUAACUACGUG
RNAcentral lists this ribosomal RNA (497 nucleotides) under uncultured bacterium. RNAcentral describes it as "partial 16S ribosomal RNA". It matches the Rfam family "Bacterial small subunit ribosomal RNA", at positions 28 to 507 of the family's 1533-position model. The record is from RNAcentral.